CCAGACUCCUACGGGAGGCAGCAGUGGGGAAUAUUGCACAAUGGGGGAAACCCUGAUGCAGCGACGCCGCGUGAGUGAAGAAGUAUUUCGGUAUGUAAAGCUCUAUCAGCAGGGAAGAAAAUGACGGUACCUGACUAAGAAGCCCCGGCUAACUACGUGCCAGCAGCCGCGGUAAUACGUAGGGGGCAAGCGUUAUCCGGAUUUACUGGGUGUAAAGGGAGCGUAGACGGCAUGGCAAGUCAGAUGUGAAAGCCCGGGGCUCAACCCCGGGACUGCAUUUGAAACUGUCAGGCUGGAGUGCAGGAGAGGCAAUCGGAAUUCCGUGUGUAGCGGUGAAAUGCGUAGAUAUACGGAGGAACACCAGUGGCGAAGGCGGAUUGCUGGACAGUAACUGACGCUGAGGCGCGAAAGCGUGGGGAGCAAACAGGAUUAGAUACCCGAGUA
This 444-nucleotide ribosomal RNA is filed under the name uncultured bacterium. RNAcentral's name for it is "bacterial SSU rRNA". It matches the Rfam family "Bacterial small subunit ribosomal RNA", at positions 331 to 792 of the family's 1533-position model. The record is from RNAcentral.